AGGUGGCGAGCGUUGUCCGGAUUUACUGGGCGUAAAGGGUGCGUAGGCGGAUGUUUAAGUGGGAUGUGAAAUCCCCGGGCUUAACCUGGGGGCUGCAUUCCAAACUGGAUAUCUAGAGUGCAGGAGAGGAAAGCGGAAUUCCUAGUGUAGCGGUGAAAUGCGUAGAGAUUAGGAAGAACACCAGUGGCGAAGGCGGCUUUCUGGACUGUAACUGACGCUGAGGCACGAAAGCGUGGGUAGCAAACAGGAUUAGAUACCCUGGUAGUCCACGCCGUAAACGAUGGAUACUAGGUGUAGGGGGUAUCAACUCCCCCUGUGCCGCAGUUAACACAAUAAGUAUCCCGCCUGGGGAGUACGGUCGCAAGAUUAAAACUCAAAGGAAUUGACGGGGGCCCGCACAAGCAGCGGAGCAUGUGGUUUAAUUCGAAGCAACGCGAAGAACCUUACCUGGACUUGACAUCCCUUGCAUAGCCUAGAGAUAGGUGAAGCCCUUCGGGGCAAGGAGACAGGUGGUGCAUGGUUGUCGUCAGCUCGUGUCGUGAGAUGUUAGGUUAAGUCCUGCAACGAGCGCAACCCUUGUUAUUAGUUGCUACCAUUAAGUUGAGCACUCUAAUGAGACUGCCUGGGUAACCAGGAGGAAGGUGGGGAUGACGUCAAAUCAUCAUGCCCCUUAUGUCCAGGGCUACACACGUGCUACAAUGGUAGGUACAAUAAGACGCAAGACCGUGAGGUGGAGCAAAACUUAUAAAACCUAUCUCAGUUCGGAUUGUAGGCUGCAACUCGCCUACAUGAAGCUGGAGUUGCUAGUAAUCGCGAAUCAGAAUGUCGCGGUGAAUACGUUCCCGGGCCUUGUACACACCGCCCGUCACACCAUGAGAGCUGGUAACACCCGAAGUCCGUGAGGUAACCGUAAGGAGCCAGCGGCCGAAGGUGGGAUUAGUGAUUGGGGUGAAGUCGUAACAAGGUAGCCGUAGGAGAACCUGCGGCUGGAUCACCUCCUUUCUAAGGAGA
Molecule: ribosomal RNA, 1011 nt
Filed under: Clostridium sporogenes
Lineage: Bacteria; Bacillati; Bacillota; Clostridia; Eubacteriales; Clostridiaceae
Description: bacterial SSU rRNA
Rfam family: Bacterial small subunit ribosomal RNA
Source: RNAcentral